This 465-nucleotide ribosomal RNA is filed under the name Vreelandella stevensii. RNAcentral describes it as "partial 16S ribosomal RNA". It matches the Rfam family "Bacterial small subunit ribosomal RNA", at positions 338 to 795 of the family's 1533-position model. Lineage: Bacteria; Pseudomonadati; Pseudomonadota; Gammaproteobacteria; Oceanospirillales; Halomonadaceae. The record is from RNAcentral.
CCUACGGGGGGCUGCAGUGGGGAAUAUUGGACAAUGGGGGGAACCCUGAUCCAGCCAUGCCGCGUGUGUGAAGAAGGCCCUCGGGUUGUAAAGCACUUUCAGUGAGGAAGAACGCCUGGUGGUUAAUACCCAUCAGGAAAGACAUCACUCACAGAAGAAGCACCGGCUAACUCCGUGCCAGCAGCCGCGGUAAUACGGAGGGUGCGAGCGUUAAUCGGAAUUACUGGGCGUAAAGCGCGCGUAGGUGGCUUGAUAAGCCGGUUGUGAAAGCCCCGGGCUCAACCUGGGAACGGCAUCCGGAACUGUCAAGCUAGAGUGCAGGAGAGGAAGGUAGAAUUCCCGGUGUAGCGGUGAAAUGCGUAGAGAUCGGGAGGAAUACCAGUGGCGAAGGCGGCCUUCUGGACUGAUACUGACACUGAGGUGCGAAAGCGUGGGUAGCAAACAGGAUUAGAUACCCGAGUAGUC